GGGGUUGUGGCUCAGCGGUAGAGCGCUCACCUCGCAUGUGUGAGAGCCUAGGUUCAAUCCUCAGCACCA
This is a non-coding RNA of Ictidomys tridecemlineatus (thirteen-lined ground squirrel), 69 nucleotides long. Lineage: Eukaryota; Metazoa; Chordata; Mammalia; Rodentia; Sciuridae. The record is from Rfam.